GAUGAACGCUGGCGGCGUGCCUAAUACAUGCAAGUCGAGCGAACAGAUGCGGAGCUUGCUCCUCUGACGUUAGCGGCGGACGGGUGAGUACCACGUGGAUACCCUACCUAUAAGACUGGGAUAACUUCGGGAAACCGGAGCUAAUACCGGCUAAUAUUUUGAACCGCAUGCUUCAAUAGUGAAAGACGGCUUUGCUCUCACUUAUAGAUGGAUCCGCGCCGCAUUAGCUAGUUGGUAAGGUAACGGCUUACCAAGGCAACGAUGCGUAGCCGACCUGGGAGGGUGAUCGGCCACACUGGAACUGAGACACGGUCCAGACUCCUACGGGAGGCGGCAGUAGGGAAUCUUCCGCAAUGGGCGAAAGCCUGACGGAGCAACGCCGCGUGAGUGAUGAAGGUCUUCGGAUCGUAAAACUCUGUUAGUAGGGAAGAACAAAUGUGUAAGUAACUAUGCACGUCUUGACGGUACCUAAUCAGAAAGCCACGGCUAACUACGUG
Molecule: ribosomal RNA, 497 nt
Filed under: uncultured bacterium
Lineage: Bacteria
Description: partial 16S ribosomal RNA
Rfam family: Bacterial small subunit ribosomal RNA
Source: RNAcentral